ACUCUGGCUUACAGAUGGCUGCAUUCUAGCAGCCUCUUCACAAGAUAUUUUCUCCGUGUGCAACAUCCCUGGUGCCUCUCCUGUUCAUCCCAAUCUUUUCUUCUUAACCAUUUUUUCCUACUGUAUUAUAGAAAUAACUAAAGAAGAAGGAAGAGUUAUGUGCCUUAUACUAUGAUGAAGAAGGACACCCACACCUUACCUAACAUGUACAUUAACACCUGCAUUGGCAAAAACCUAAAAAAU
Molecule: long non-coding RNA, 243 nt
Filed under: Homo sapiens (human)
Lineage: Eukaryota; Metazoa; Chordata; Mammalia; Primates; Hominidae
Description: HSALNT0348222
Source: RNAcentral